RNAcentral lists this ribosomal RNA (1413 nucleotides) under uncultured Nanobdellati archaeon. Its description in RNAcentral is "bacterial SSU rRNA". It matches the Rfam family "Archaeal small subunit ribosomal RNA". The record is from RNAcentral. Lineage: Archaea; Nanobdellati.
CGUACGGCUCAGUAACACGUAGCCAAUCUACCGCAGAGAGGGGAAUAACGUUGGGAAACUGACGAUAAUGCCACAUAGGGUAAGAUCGCUGGAAUGCUUUUUACCCCAAAAGGAACGUGAAUUGGAGCGUUUACGCUCUGCGAUGAGGCUGCGUCGGAUCAGGCAGAAGGCGGGGUAACGGCCCACCAUACCUUUGACCCGUAGGGGCUAUGAGAGUAGGAGCCCCGAGAAGGGCACUGAGACAAGGGCCCUAGUGCUACGGCAUGCAGCAGGCGCGAAAACUCCACAAUGCACGAAAGCGUGAUGGGGGGAGUCUGAGUGGAGGGUUCACCCCCUCCUUUUGCUAAGUUUAAUCAGCUUGGCGAAUAAGUGCUGGGUAAGGCCGGUGGCAGCCGCCACGGUAAUACCGGCGGCACAAGUGGUGUCCACGAGUAUUGGGCUUAAAGCGUCCGUAGCUGGCUCAAACCGUCUUAUGUGAAAUGCAUGUGCUCAACACAUGCGCUUGCAUAAGAUACCUUUGGGCUAGGGAGCGGGAGAGGUUAGGAGUACUUAUAGGGUAGGGGUAGAAUCUUAUAAUCCCAUAAGGACUACCGGUGGCGAAGGCGCCUAACCAGAACGCAUCCGACAGUGAGUGACGAAGGCUAGGAGAACGAAUCGGAUUAGAUACCCGAGUAGCCCUAGCAGUAAAUUAUGCAGACAUUGGUGUUGCUUUUAUCACGAAUAAAAGCAGUACCGUAGGAAAACUGUUAAGUCUGCCGCCUGGGGAGUACGGCCGCAAGGUUGAAACUUAAAGCAAUUGGCGGGGGAGCACACAAGGGGUGGAUGCUAAGGUCUAAUUGAAUUCAACGUCGGGAACAUUACCUGGAGCGACGGCAGAAUGAAGGUCAGGCUAAAGACUUUACCUAACGAGCCGAGAGGUGUUGCAUGGCGAUCGUCAGUUCGUGGUGUGAACUAUCCGGUUAAGUCCGGUAACGAACGAGAUCCCUGUGAACAGUUGCCAUUGCUGCAGAGAUGCAGCAAGCACUCUGUUCAGACCGCCUGCGUUUAAGCAGGAGGAAGGAGGGGGCCACGGUACGUCAGUAUAGCCCAAAUCUCCAGGGCUACACGCGGCAUACAAAGGUUGGUACAAUGGGUUGCUACCCAGAAAUGGGACGCUAAUCCCCUAAAACCAGCCCCAGUUCGGAUUGAGGGUUGCAACUCACCCUCAUGAAGUUGGAAUCCCUAGUAAUCGCUUGUCACCAUCGAGCGGUGAAUGUGUCCCCGCUCCUUGCACACACCGCCUGCCAAGUCAUCCAAGUGAGGUCUUAGUGACGCAGUAUUGUAUGAUGCUGUCGAACUAAGGUUUCGUGAGGGGGGCUAAGGCAUAACAAGGUAUCCGUAGGGGAACCUGCGGAUAGAUCACCUCAAAAGGGC